CCUACGGGCUGCAGCAGUGGGGAAUAUUGGACAAUGGGCGAAAGCCUGAUCCAGCCAUGCCGCGUGUGUGAAGAAGGCCUUCGGGUUGUAAAGCACUUUCAGUGGGGAAGAAAGCCUUGGGGCUAAUACCCUCGAGGAAGGACAUCACCCACAGAAGAAGCACCGGCUAACUCCGUGCCAGCAGCCGCGGUAAUACGGAGGGUGCGAGCGUUAAUCGGAAUUACUGGGCGUAAAGCGCGCGUAGGCGGUCUGAUAAGCCGGUUGUGAAAGCCCCGGGCUCAACCUGGGAACGGCAUCCGGAACUGUCAGGCUAGAGUGCAGGAGAGGAAGGUAGAAUUCCCGGUGUAGCGGUGAAGUGCGUAGAGAUCGGGAGGAAUACCAGUGGCGAAGGCGGCCUUCUGGACUGACACUGACGCUGAGGUGCGAAAGCGUGGGUAGCAAACAGGAUUAGAUACCCGAGUAGUC
This 465-nucleotide ribosomal RNA is filed under the name Vreelandella stevensii. RNAcentral describes it as "partial 16S ribosomal RNA". It matches the Rfam family "Bacterial small subunit ribosomal RNA", at positions 338 to 795 of the family's 1533-position model. The record is from RNAcentral. Lineage: Bacteria; Pseudomonadati; Pseudomonadota; Gammaproteobacteria; Oceanospirillales; Halomonadaceae.